GCAGCGCUGAUAACCGCGGUGCUGCCACAGCUACUCGUGCCCAACGCCCAGCCCAAGCGCUGCGUGGUUUUUUUGACAGGAACAGCAGCUGAAGUUUUCACUUGGUUGGAGCGUGGGAGGGGAGGGCAGAGAGCAGAGGAGUGAGGGCUGUGCUCAGGCAGCAGCUUCUGGGCACAGCCAGGUAGUUGUGAAACACCACGGAGCUGGUGCUGGAGCCCAGGGCUGCAGGGAGCACUGGGAGCCUUAGGACAGGAGGGCAUUGGCUUCUUCGAGGCCUUACAUCGCUCAGCUGUGCUUCCAUAUAAGUAGUCUAAGAAGAUAACUUAAGUACUUUCUUAUUUGUAAAACUGGGUCCGUUCCAAGGAUUGUGAUCCUUGAAAUGGUGAAGAAAUGGUGAAGAGCCACAGGCCUGGAAGCGGGGAGGAGGUACGGAGGGUGGAAGGUAACUAAAGGCUGCCAGGUUUACUUGUAAAAGGUUGCAAGCCACUUUUGUAGCCUUGUUUUAGACCUUUGACAAAAGCUGGGGGCACAAACCAAGCUGUCUAAUGCUGCUGUGACAAAUGAGCUACUAAAAUAUUGCUCGUGCUGAAGAUGAGAAUAGUUUGGCAGCCAGCAGCCGUCUGGUUAUAGUCAGGACGUCCACUAUUAAGGCCUUUGGAUUAUCCAACGACCGGAGAUAUUCCAAUUCUUUCCAUUCUUUCACCUCUUAUGUACAUUUCCAUGAAGAAAAUAACUUUGAAAGAAAUGCUGGGAAUUCUGACAUUUGCCACAUUGCACAACAAUGAUGAUUAAACAAGAAUCAAAACAAAAGCCCACAACCAACAACCCAGGAAUUUACCUUAUUAAGAUAUAUUUUGAGGCCUCCUGAUAAUUUUGUAAGUUAGAAGAGCACAAGAGGGAUUUAGAUGUCCAAAUCACAUUAGCUGUUCAUAGGAAAACAAGGCAAAAGCAUUCUUUUUGCCUACUUUUGAAAAUUACAGGAGGGGUCAGGCUGCCUGGCCUAGACGUGUUCGCCUCUCCCUUACCAUCCUUGUGUGACUGCAGCUGCAAUGUUUCCUAUAACUGUGUAUCUGAGAUGAAGCCCAGAGCUUCCAUCACUUACAAAUCUGAAUUCAGGAAUAAGAAGAUGCCCAUAUAUUAGAACAUUCUGCAAUUUACCUGCAAAAUGGAACUGCUGCUUAUGGCUGUUAGCAGUUGCAACAUUUCUUUACGCCCGGUGACCCCCAUUUCCACGUGCCCAGCUCCCAGAAGGCGGCUGAGUCUGGUACGGGGACGGCUCAAAGCACACAGGCUCCAGAGGGGCUGCUCUGACGGGACGAGUGUCUGCAGGAGGAACUGCCGAGCCCUGCAAAGCCUGCCUAGCCCACCUGUGUCCCGAGGGCUCUGAAUGUUCAAAAGGCUCAAGGAAGGCCGGUGUUCUGCAGCAUCCUUUGGUGGUGCCGUCUGGUGGAGAAGGAGCUCGGGACAACUGCAAGAACCGACCCCUGUGAGCUUUCUGCCCGUGAUAACCCCAGAAAUUUCAAGCAACAGUUCUUGGAAACCAUAUGGAGAUCAGCCUGGGAGUUUUGCAAGGAAACACCCAGCAGUGGCCGUUUUCAGAGAGAAGAUACAAUUCUGACCUGCUGCUGUUAUACCUUCGGCAUUUUGUGAUAUGGUGGGUAAAGAUUAUUCCCAGACUGAAGCCUUCAUCACAAGCCAACUUUUAACUGUGAGAGAAAUGUCUGAACUGGUUUGCAACUGAAAUGAAUAUCUAUGGGAACUGAUGCCUGUCCACCCACGUUGCCAGACUGUUUCUUCACAUGAAAAGGAAUGAUUCUUCAAAAGGAAAGUAUAAUUAAUACUUUCACAUACACUUUAAUUUUUUGAAUUGACUGGUGAGGGGAGGGUGGCUAUGGACAGAGCAUGUUUCAUGUCUUUUGGAAAUAUUGUUCAGACAUAAACUGCAAUGUCAUUAUAAUAUACAAAAUAGCUUUACUGAAUUUCAUAAUUACAAUAUAAAAUAUUAAUUUACAGUGAAAUAAACCACAAUAAUAAGGGAGCGUAGAAGGUCUUCUGCACCCUCACCAUUGCAAAUCAGGAUAGUGACAUGAUACAGCCAGAUCAUGGCCUGAUCCACACUUACAUUUAUUUGCGUAUUUGGUGCUUGGGUGAGAAGUGUGUGUCUGGAGGGCUUUGAGGAGUGUUGGGCUGAGAGGAGUGAGGCAAACAGGGGCUGGGAGGAUUGUUCUGCCCUAGGACUAUUUUGUUAGAGGCUGGAUGCCUCUACCAACUGCUUGGUCUGUGCUGAGCCCCUUCUGCAGCCUCACAGAAAAAAAGUGUCAGGCCCUGCCAGAGCAGAUCAUCUUGGAGAGAAGGGUGAAACUUUAUUAACUGAGUUGCUGUAUGAAUCAAAGGGAAACUCUCUACUGGGUUCAAUUAUGCCUAUGUGUUGAGAGCACAACUUUCAUAAAAAUCAUCUGAUAUGUUUGCAUGGAUAAGAAAAAACGUGAGGAUGUUUAACAUCACAGGGCCAGCAGCACAGAAAUGAAAGGUCCCACAGGAGCUUUCAUUCUCCUUCAAAUGUUUGUCACUAUCAGACCAUAAGUGUACAAACCAACUUUUGAAAAUUAGUAAGAAUAAAAAAGACAAGGUUUCCUUCCAAGAUGUUACCCUUUAUUCAAAAUAAUCAACACUCAAAGUAUUUUGAAAUAAAGUUAAUGCCAGAAUAAGGGAAAAUAACUGUAAAAGUUCUCUAUUGACAGAAGAAACUAAAAAAAAAAUCCGUUAUAAUCUCACACACACACAAAAAAAAUAAUUUAAUGGUGCAGUAAUCAGUGUAAUACAAGCUAUAUUUAGAAGCACUACAAUUAUUACAUAAUACAUCAUGAAGACCCUCUAGAGAUGGUAUUACCAGAGAUUAUAGGCUAGUUCAGAAAGCCAUUAAGGAUCUAUUAGUUGCCAAACUGGCCCAUCCAUAACUUUCAGUAAUGUCCUCUCUGGAGCAUUACUUUCUUAUCACACUAUAUCUGUAGUAUGAAACAGAAGCUAUACCCAAGACUGUUGAAAUAAAAUGUAGACUUGACAUCUUUGCUAUUUUGUAAUUAACACCUUUGUUAUAUUCUUGACUCAAGUUUUACAAUAAUUGGAUGAAUUAAUCAAUAUGUCUUCUGGGAUUUGGUUUUGUUUCUCACUAUCCAUUAGAUAACUUCUGAAGUUAAAAUCAUGAUACAUAUUUUCAUGUUAAUAGAAGUUUGAUGAAAUAAGUAUAAAGUAAAAAAAAAAAAAAAAAAGAAGUUCAUCAAAAAAAUGUAGUGGAAAACAGCACAAAACACUCCAUUAGAGGUGUGUUUUCUUUCAGCUGCAAUAGUUUAGAAAUUAUCAACUCUUUGAACAUAUGAUACAUAACAAAUGACUUAAUUAUAAUUUGUGGACAAAAAUGCAAUGGUCUUAGAUCCACCAGUUAAGAUGCUGUUAUGGUAAGGGCUGCAGAAGAACAGCCAGAGGACGUACAGUGGUAAAAAUGAUGACUGCUGCAAAUUUCUGAAAUAUUUGGAAUUUAUAAUUUAAACAUACAGAAUAUGAUAUAGAAAAUUAGAGUUUACAUCUAUCAGACAAAUAGAUCAGAUGGUAGAUCUCAUCUUCAUUUUUGACAUUUGUGAAGAUAUUAUGUGAAACCUGAUCUUUCGGUAAAUUGGAAGUCUCUGUCUUCGUCCAUUCUCUCUUUUAUUUGUGUGUGAGAAAUUUCAGAUUUACUUGUGAAAGUUUCUGAAAUGGUCCAUGUGACAUUUUAAAUUUUAUAAUGUGUAUCUGAUUUCACUUGUACUCAUUCACCUAAUAUCUAAAAACAUUUGAAUAUGUAGAACAAAUGUAUUUUUCUCCUGCUUUGUGAUGAACAAAAUUUCUGCAGAAUGAUGCAUGCAUUAAGCAUUCCUCUGAAUUAGUUCUCUCUACCGGAGGGCAAGAAAAUCCAGUGCUCUAAAAAGUAAACAUGAAAAUUAACACAAGAACACAAAUAAUUAAUUCUUGGACUGGUAAUGCUGCUGCAAAUAUGUAUAGAUACUGUAGCACUGUAACCUGGAUCCUAUUGGCCGUGCAAAUGCAGAAUGUUGGCAUAGUUUAUAGAGUUCUUGUACACCUAAGGAUAUAAGUAUAUUCAUAAAUAAAUUGUUACGUUGUGUGUAUUGAUAAAAUAAAUUGUUCAUAGAACAGUAGUGUUCUGUUUUACAUCCACUUUGGAAAAGAGUAAAUAGUUGCACAAGGUCAAAAUUGGUGAAGAUUUUCUAAACAAAAUAAUACUAGCUCCUGUUUUGGGUAUUGACUUCCAGUGAAGAAAAGUGUAGGAUUUUUGAGUUUGCUAUAUUCUUUACUCUAGGUGUAAAAUCAGUGCUAUUCUAGGUUAAGCAUUUUUCAUGUAGUUUCAUCACAGGAUAGCAGCCUGUGCUUUGUGUGUGAGUGUGAGACCUUCUCCAGCCCCACACAUUAUCUCUGAAGUAGUAUGUGGGAUGUUAGCUUAUCACUGUUUUAUUGCAAAAAAAUUGAGAAAUGUCUGAUUAAGUCAGAGAAAAGUUACUGCAUUAUUAAAAUGGUUGAAUCAAUUUUUUCUUUCUUAUGGUUUGUCAAAUUUAUAAAAUAUUAUAUUUCUCCUCAGAUAGAGUUACAUACUGUGUAGCUCAGAGAUAAUCCCUAUGGUCUUGGCAUAUGUUACUUAAUUGUCUCAGAAGGAAAUACCAUAAAUACCAUGCUGUCAUCUCCCAUGGGCAUUUGCUCAUCUGUCACAGUGGGAGCUCCAGACUGGGUGAGGUGCUCUAAGACAUUUCUUAAACUAUGUAAAUCACAGCCAUUUCUUCUUCCUACUUCCCAAAUGGUCAAUUAUGUAUAAACAUGUGUUAAUAAAAAUUUGCUUCUUUUGC
This is a long non-coding RNA of Anas platyrhynchos (mallard), 4889 nucleotides long. RefSeq lists it as uncharacterized. The record is from RefSeq and is a predicted model, not a curated record. Lineage: Eukaryota; Metazoa; Chordata; Aves; Anseriformes; Anatidae.